Molecule: ribosomal RNA, 442 nt
Filed under: uncultured bacterium
Lineage: Bacteria
Description: partial 16S ribosomal RNA
Rfam family: Bacterial small subunit ribosomal RNA
Source: RNAcentral
CCUACGGGUGGCAGCAGUGGGGAAUAUUGGACAAUGGGCGCAAGCCUGACCCAGCAACGCCGCGUGAAGGAAGAAGGCUUUCGGGUUGUAAACCUCUUUUAAUAGGGAAGAGAAGAUGACGUUACCUCUUGAAUAAGCUCCGCCUAACUACGUGCAAGCAGCCGCGGUAAUACGUAGGGAGCGGGCGUUGUCCGGAUUUACUGGGUGUAAAGGGAGUGCAGCGGGGAGUACAAGUCAGAUGUGAAAUCCAGCGGCUCAACCGCGGAACUGCAUUUGAAACUGUAUAUCUUGAGAACUGGAGAGGCAGACGGAAGUCCUAGUGUAGCGGUGAAAUGCGUAGAUAUUAGGAGGAACACCAGUGGCGAAGGCGGUCUGCUGGACAGCAACUGACGGUGAGGCGCGAAAGCGUGGGGAGCAAACAGGAUUAGAUACCCUUGUAGUC